This 700-nucleotide ribosomal RNA is filed under the name uncultured Chroococcales cyanobacterium. RNAcentral describes it as "bacterial SSU rRNA". It matches the Rfam family "Bacterial small subunit ribosomal RNA", at positions 94 to 824 of the family's 1533-position model. The record is from RNAcentral. Lineage: Bacteria; Bacillati; Cyanobacteriota; Cyanophyceae; Chroococcales.
AGUGGCGGACGGGUGAGUAACACGUAGGAACCUGCCUUGUACAGGGGGAUAACCACCGGAAGCGGUGGCUAAUACCGCAUAAGUACGCGAGUAUGAAAGGUGAGAACCGGUACAAGAGGGGCCUGCGUCGGAUUAGCUAGUUGGUAGGGUAAAGGCCUACCAAGGCGACGAUCCGUAGUUGGUCUGAGAGGAUGACCAGCCACAGUGGGACUGAGAUACGGCCCACACUCCUACGGGAGGCAGCAGUAGGGAAUUUUGCGCAAUGGGCGAGAGCCUGACGCAGCAACUCCGCGUGGAGGAUGAAGUUUUUAGGAACGUAAACUCCUGUCAGCAGGGACGAAAAGGUGACGGUACCUGCAGAGGAAGCACCGGCUAACUACGUGCCAGCAGCCGCGGUAAUACGUAGGGUGCAAGCGUUGUCCGGAAUAACUGGGCGUAAAGGGUCCGUAGGCGGUUAUGUGCGUCUGUUGUUAAAGGUCGGUGCUCAACACCGGUAUGGCAAUGGAAACGGCAUGACUAGAGUAUGGCAGAGGCAACGGGAAUUCCCGGCGUAGCGGUGAAAUGCGUAGAUAUCGGGAGGAACACCGGUGGCGAAAGCGCGUUGCUGGGCCAAGACUGACGCUGAGGGACGAAAGCCAGGGUAGCAAAAGGGAUUAGAUACCCCUGUAGUCCUGGCCGUAAACGAUGGAUACUAGGUGUU